Molecule: ribosomal RNA, 253 nt
Filed under: uncultured bacterium
Lineage: Bacteria
Description: partial 16S ribosomal RNA
Rfam family: Bacterial small subunit ribosomal RNA
Source: RNAcentral
UACGUAGGGUGCAAGCGUUGUCCGGAAUUAUUGGGCGUAAAGAGCUCGUAGGCGGUUCGUCACGUCGGCUGUGAAAACCUGAGGCUCAACCUCAGGCCUGCAGUCGAUACGGGCGGACUUGAGUACUGCAGGGGAGACUGGAAUUCCUGGUGUAGCGGUGAAAUGCGCAGAUAUCAGGAGGAACACCGGUGGCGAAGGCGGGUCUCUGGGCCGUAACUGACGCUGAGGAGCGAAAGCGUGGGGAGCGAACAGG